Molecule: ribosomal RNA, 424 nt
Filed under: uncultured bacterium
Lineage: Bacteria
Description: bacterial SSU rRNA
Rfam family: Bacterial small subunit ribosomal RNA
Source: RNAcentral
UAGGGAAUAUUGGUCAAUGGACGCAAGUCUGAACCAGCCAUGCCGCGUGCAGGAUGACUGCCCUAUGGGUUGUAAACUGCUUUUAUCAGGGAAGAAACCCUUCUACGUGUAGAGGGCUGACGGUACCUGAGGAAUAAGGAUCGGCUAACUUCGUGCCAGCAGCCGCGGUAAUACGAAGGAUCCAAGCGUUGUCCGGAUUUACUGGGUUUAAAGGGUGCGUAGGCGGACUAAUAAGUCAGUGGUGAAAGCCGGUAGCUUAACUAUCGAACUGCCAUUGAAACUGCUAGUCUCGAGUACGGUUGAGGUGGCUGGAAUGUAUCAUGUAGCGGUGAAAUGCUUAGAUAUGAUACAGAACACCAAUUGCGAAGGCAAGUCACUAAACCGUAACUGACGCUGAGGCACGAAAGCGUGGGGAGCAAACAGG